UGGGGAAUUUUGCACAAUGGGCGCAAGCCUGAUGCAGCGACGCCGCGUGAGGGAUGAAGGCCUUCGGGUUGUAAACCUUUUUCGCUCAUGGUCAAGCCGCAGCUUUGGGUUGUGGUGAGGGUAGUGGGUAAAGAAGCGCCGGCUAACUACGUGCCAGCAGCCGCGGUAAUACGUAGGGCGCGAGCGUUGUCCGGAAUUAUUGGGCGUAAAGGGCUUGUAGGCGGUUGGCCGCGUCUGCCGUGAAAUCCUCUGGCUUAACUGGGGGCGUGCGGUGGGUACGGGUUGACUUGAGUGCGGUAGGGGGGACUGGAAGUCCUGGUGUAGCGGUGGAAUGCGCAGAUAUCAGGAGGAACACCGGUGGCGAAGGCGGGUCUCUGGGCCGUUACUGACGCUGAGGAGCGAAAGCGUGGGGAGCGAACAGG
This 422-nucleotide ribosomal RNA is filed under the name Verrucomicrobiota bacterium. Its description in RNAcentral is "Verrucomicrobia bacterium partial 16S ribosomal RNA". It matches the Rfam family "Bacterial small subunit ribosomal RNA", at positions 355 to 776 of the family's 1533-position model. Lineage: Bacteria; Pseudomonadati; Verrucomicrobiota. The record is from RNAcentral.